This 1305-nucleotide long non-coding RNA is filed under the name Danio rerio (zebrafish). Its description in RNAcentral is "lncRNA (ENSDARG00000117463.1)". The record is from RNAcentral. Lineage: Eukaryota; Metazoa; Chordata; Actinopteri; Cypriniformes; Danionidae.
AAUAAACAGUCAAACAAAACAAACAAUCAAACAGACAGACAGACAAUCAAUCAAUCAAUCAAUUAAUCGAUCCAACAAACAAAUAAUCAAUAAGUCAAACAAACAAACAAAAAUAAAGAAAUAAAUUAAUUAACAAUCAAUCAAACUAAAUCAAUAAAUCAACGAAUAAACAAUUAAACAAUCAAUCAAACAAACAAACAAACAAACAAACAAACAAACAAACAAACAAACAAACAAACAAAAUAAAUAAACAAAAUAUUAAACAAACAUUCAAACAAACAUUCAAACAAACAAACAAAAUUAAACAAAAUAUUAAACAAACAAACAAACAAACAUUUAAACAAACAAUCAAACAAACUAACAAACAAAAUAAAACAAAAUAUUAAACAAACAAACAUUUAAACAAACAAUCAAACAAACAAACAAACAAAAUAAAACAAAAUAUUAAACAAACAAACAUUUAAACAAACAAUCAAACAAACAAACAAACAAAAUAAAACAAAAUAUUAAACAAACAAACAUUUAAACAAACAAUCAAACAAACAAACAAACAAACAAAAUAAAACAAAAUAUUAAACAAACAAACAUUUAAACAAACAUUCAAACAAACAAACAAAAUUAAACAAAAUAUUUAACAAACAAACAUUUAACAAAUGAACAAACAAACAAAUAAUAAUCCCAUAAUUGAUGCAUUCACAUCACUAUCAGUAUAAGAUCUAAAUGAUAAUAAUACUGAAGAUCUAAAUAAAUGAGCGUCACAUCUUUAUAGCAUCUGCAGUUGUACAGUAUCAGUUACUUUGUCAGUGGCACUUUUUUCUGUCCUGCUGCUAUUGAAACUCCACCCUUCUCUCACUCUCUCUCUUUCUCUCUCUCUCUCUCCUCUGCAGUGUUUUCUCUGCUGCGGUCAGCACAAGUGUUCAGUGUCAGUCUGGACGAUGCAGGACUGUCUGAUCAGGACACACAUGAUCCCGGUAAGGGAUGAAGAUGCCGAAUCUCAGAGGAAGGCCAAAUCACGGCAGGCCAGACAGACUCGGAGAGCUACACAGGGAGUAACCCUCUCAGAGCUCAUGGAGGCUAAGAAGACCUUCAGUACAUCAAAACUGGAAAUUCAACCAGGUGAAGUGUGCAGAUCUACAGAGAGACUGUGUGUUCAGAGAGUUCAUGAGGACACCACAGACUCCAGUCCAUCUCUGAAAACACUAGAACAACAUUCUGAGGAUCAUCUUGAUGAGGUGAUUAUGACACAAAAACGCUGCAAUUUACCACCGGAGAACAAUAACAGAUGCAAAUAAUGGGUUAGUCUGC